GACGAACGCUGGCGGCGUGCCUAAUACAUGUAAGUAGAACGCUGAAGAGAGGAGCUUGCUCUUCUUGGAUGAGUUGCGAACGGGUGAGUAACGCGUAGGUAACCUGCCUUGUAGCGGGGGAUAACUAUUGGAAACGAUAGCUAAUACCGCAUAACAAUGGAUGACACAUGUCAUUUAUUUGAAAGGGGCAAUUGCUCCACUACAAGAUGGACCUGCGUUGUAUUAGCUAGUAGGUGAGGUAAUGGCUCACCUAGGCGACGAUACAUAGCCGACCUGAGAGGGUGAUCGGCCACACUGGGACUGAGACACGGCCCAGACUCCUACGGGAGGCAGCAGUAGGGAAUCCUCGGCAAUGGGGGCAACCCUGACCGAGCAACGCCGCGUGAGUGAAGAAGGUUUUCGGAUCGUAAAGCUCUGUUGUAAGUCAAGAACGGGUGUGAGAGUGGAAAGUUCACACUGUGACGGUAGCUUACCAGAAAGGGACGGUUAACUACGUG
RNAcentral lists this ribosomal RNA (497 nucleotides) under uncultured bacterium. Its description in RNAcentral is "partial 16S ribosomal RNA". It matches the Rfam family "Bacterial small subunit ribosomal RNA", at positions 28 to 507 of the family's 1533-position model. The record is from RNAcentral.